RNAcentral lists this small RNA (3357 nucleotides) under Pan troglodytes (chimpanzee). Its description in RNAcentral is "retained intron". The record is from RNAcentral. Lineage: Eukaryota; Metazoa; Chordata; Mammalia; Primates; Hominidae.
UCCUGAUAUACAAAUACAACUAUACAAAAUUACAAAACAUAGUUUGUAUGAAAACCAAAAAUUUAGUCCCUAACAUUUGACUUGCACUGUUGCCAUUGCACUUCAUGCAGCUUAUAGGCACCUUUCCAGGGUAAGUAGGGUUGUCAGAUGGUAAAUCUGUCUUGCUGCAUAGCAAAGCUGUCUAUUUCUGUGCUGUAUAUCUGUCAGUGUUUCAGAGCUCUAGCCCAGGAGGAGGCGGCGGGGGCGGCGGUGGUGAAGAAGAGGACAGUCAGCAGGAAUCUGAAACUCCUGACCCAAGUGGAGGCUUCCGAGGAACAAUGGAAGCAGACCGAGGAAUGGAAGGUUUAAUCAGUCCCACAGAGGCCAUGGGGAACAGUAAUGGGGCCAGCAGCUCCUGUCCUGGCUGGCUUCGAAAGGAGCUGGAAAAUGCAGAAUUUAUCCCCAUGCCUGACAGCCCAUCUCCUCUCAGUGCAGCGUUUUCAGAAUCUGAGAAAGAUACCCUGCCCUAUGAAGAGCUGCAAGGACUCAAAGUGGCCUCUGAAGCUCCUUUGGAACACAAACCCCAAGUAGAAGCCUCGUCACCUCGGCUGAAUCCUGCAGUAACCUGUGCUGGGAAGGGAACACCACUGACUCCUCCUGUGUGUGCGUGCAGCUCUCUGCAGGUGGAGGUUGAGAGAUUGCAGGGUCUGGUGUUAAAGUGUCUGGCUGAACAACAGAAGCUACAGCAAGAAAACCUCCAGAUUUUUACCCAACUGCAGAAGUUGAACAAGAAAUUAGAAGGAGGGCAGCAGGUGGGGAUGCAUUCCAAAGGAACUCAGACAGCAAAGGAAGAGAUGGAAAUGGAUCCAAAGCCUGACUUAGAUUCAGAUUCCUGGUGCCUCCUGGGAACAGACUCCUGUAGACCCAGCCUCUAGUCUCCUGAGCCUAUAGAGCCCCCAGGAGACUGGGACCCAAAGAACUUCACAGCACACUUACCGAAUGCAGAGAGCAGCUUUCCUGGCUUUGUUCACUUGCAGAAAAGGAGCGCAAGGCAGAGGCUCUGAAGCACUUUCCUUGUACAUUUGGAGAGUGGCAUUGCCUUUUAGAUAGGAUCUAGGAGUGAUUUUAUUGUUUUGGAGAAUGGAAGGGCCCCCAUGGCCCUGGCUUUGUCAUCAGUGACUGCCAUAGCAACAGCAGCUCUGUACCUCAUCUGUUGAUCCCACCUUUAAAGAGGAGACACAGUGCUCACCUUAAUUGCUCUGGUAGCAGCUUAUAUCCCAUGUAUCAUUUUCACCAUUGAUUGGAAGCUGCCUUGGGAAUUCAGUACCAGGCAUUACCCCUCUGGGUGGGAGAGGGAAAAGUGUAAAGUUGGAGUGGGCUGGAGUCAGGUGUGGCCCGCCCAGUGUCCUCUGCAGAGUGGUGAAGUAGUCUGGCCCUCUUGGGAGCCCUGAGUCCAGGAAAAUAUGUCUGAUGGAAUCAAUCUAGGGCUUGUUUCGAAAAAGUUCAGUUACUCUGUGCAGCUAAAUGCUUUAGGAGGAAAGGUAGGCUUAGGUUGCUUUUCCUCUGAGGGUUGAUUGAAAUUUCUUCAGUGAGGAAUAGAGAAAGGGCAGGACCCUCCUCAUUACACAGCUGGUGUUUCAGGCUGUGACCAAUGCAGGGUGGGAUUUCCUAACUGUGGAUGAGGGGAUGAGGUGUCUCUGAGGGAUGAGGUGUCUCAGAGAAUUGAGUCCAUGGGGCAGUCAGAAUAGCCUUAAGAGAAAAUCAUGAAGGAGAAGAGGUCCUCCUUUAGCUGCCUCUACUUGGUAUCUUAGAGAGGGCUUAGAGGGCUCUCAGUCUUCUGCCCGUGAAAAGACUUCUUUGAGCCUCUGCCUUCAUGGCUCUUAGGGUUCUGAUCUUGAUAUCAGCAGCCCCAACCACUUUGUUUCUGUAUGUCUAGUCAGUAUUUUCCCCCUUUUGGUGUUUUAUGAAGCCAUGUGAUAACGAAUGAAUCUGUAUCAUUUUUCCUACCUGAGUGGCCCAAAGCCAGCACCAAACCCUGGGAGUCCCUGAAGCCUAACAGAACAGGUAGAACUUGCAAAAGGAAUUUGGCUGAGAGCUCACUUCUAAUCCUGUACUCACUGUGUCUUUGUAGAUAGAAACAAGCUAGCCUUACCAAAGAGAAAUAGUGUCAUAGAAGAACAAAACUUCAUAUAGAAAGUUCUAGGCAUGUAUUUGAUGGUUUCCUUAAGGAUGUGAGCUUUGUAUUUCCACCUAGCCUUGUAAAAUGUUCCUGUGGUAUUUUGUGUCACACAUCCUACCUUUGAUGAGUCUCACAUCCCACCUUCCUACAAACAGCUAAAUUAAUUUUGUUUCAUUUUCCCCAGACCAAAAUGUUUGAUAAUCUUUUCAACAUUGUGGGAGGUCCUGUGCAAUGGAAAUUUUGCCAUUUCUCCAAAACUGGUGGCAUAAAGGCUGAUGCUUGGGGAGAACCCCAUUGCUUGGGACAGGCAACUCUGUUCAAUGGGAUCUUCUUUGGUUUGAUGUUCCCAUUGUUUUCUCAGUUCUGGGAAGCCUAGUACAUUAGUACUAAUGUAAUCACUGAAACCUUUUCUUGAAAUAAGGGAAGCAGCCAAACUUUGAUUAAAGUUGCAAGUUCUGGGGACUUGCGGGGGUUGUCAUAAACUGUAACAGUGGGUUUUGGUUCAGCAUGUAAAUGCAACUUUGAUUUUCUUGAGGACCGAUUGACCUGUCAUGUCCCUGUAUCCUCAUGCUCAUCAUCUCAGCAGGCCUGAGAGGCUGGGUCAGUUUGGGUGUUCAUCAUGAGGAUUGCUUCUGCCAUGGAGCUGAUGGACAUGGGCAGGUUGCUGAGAAGGUGGGGUGAAAGUGAGUGCCGGGGAUGGGUGAGUGCCCUGGUCUUGUUCAUAGAGGAGCCUUUCCCUAGCAGUGGAAUGCUGUGGUCAUUUUCUCUAGCAUAUUCCCUUGGGAAGUCUAGAUUUGCUAUUAAUCUGGCUGAGAAUCUAAGUUCUGUGCCUUAGAGACAGUUUGCACUUUCCCAUAUUGUGCCUGGGACAGCCAUAUGAUUUUUUUUCCCACCAAACAAGUAUGCAAACAGAAACCAGUUCAAAGGGGGAUGGAGUAAAAGAUGAGGCAGUAGAAAUGCCUUUGAAUGGUUUUCUGUAGCUAAUUCUCUUUAAAUUUUGUCCUGCUUUUUUUCUUUAUGCAGUGCUAGGUGUUUUAAGUUUUCUAGUAGUAUUGCUUUUGAGUUACAGUAUAACCUGAGUUACUCCUCUGCUCUAACAUUGUUGCAGAAGAACUAGUUUAUUGUUAGCCAGGUUGCUUGAAAGGUUGAGAGUGGAGUGGUUUGGCAUUUCUGUUUUAAAUAAACAUUUAAGCUCUUAA